UAACACGUAGGAGGCAAACGUUAUCCGGAUUUACUGGGCGUAAAGCGCGUGUAGGUGGUACUGUAAGUAGGGCGUGAAAGCUCCUGGCUCAACUGGGAGAGGCCGUUCUAAACUACAGAACUAGAGGAUGGUAGAGGGAGGUGGAAUUCCAGGUGUAGCGGUGGAAUGCGCAGAUAUCUGGAGGAACACCGGUGGCGAAGGCGGCCUCCUGGACCAUUCCUGACACUCAGACGCGAAAGCUAGGGUAGCAAACGGGAUUAGAGACCCCGGUAGUCCUAGCCCUAAACGAUGUAGACUAGGCGUCGGAAGUUUAAUCACUUUCGGUGUCCAAGCUAACGCGAUAAGUCUACCGCCUGGGGACUACGGCCGCAAGGUUAAAACUCAAAGGAAUUGACGGGUCCCCGCAC
This 407-nucleotide ribosomal RNA is filed under the name uncultured Chloroflexota bacterium. RNAcentral describes it as "bacterial SSU rRNA". It matches the Rfam family "Bacterial small subunit ribosomal RNA", at positions 521 to 926 of the family's 1533-position model. The record is from RNAcentral. Lineage: Bacteria; Bacillati; Chloroflexota.